Molecule: long non-coding RNA, 393 nt
Organism: Thunnus maccoyii (southern bluefin tuna)
Lineage: Eukaryota; Metazoa; Chordata; Actinopteri; Scombriformes; Scombridae
Exons: 3
Source: RefSeq, a predicted model, not a curated record
GUCUUUGACAGCACUGAUACUGGGGGCUGUGUCUGCUGGAAGUACACGUUGCUGGGCAGGAGUGCUGUGUCCGACUGUGUGGAACGCUUCCGGUAAGACACAUGUUUACCUGGCAGGCAGGCUGCUGGAGGAGCCGUAGCCGACCUGGAGGAGAGGCCUCUGAAGAGAUGGAGAUGAGAGAAGAGACCAUCUCUCCUUGGAGUAAAAAUUCUCCAUGACGACUGCUGGCCACGGAAACAUAAGCACUACAAGCUCAUCAGACCAGAGGUCUUCACUGAGCAGUUUCCCUCGGACCCUAAAGGAGUACAACACACAUGUUGCCUUGUUUGACCCACUUAACCCAAUGCAUAUGAUAUCCAUUAAGAAGAAUAUACUGUGAAAAAUAGCUGUGGC